Molecule: non-coding RNA, 547 nt
Organism: Pelmatolapia mariae (spotted tilapia)
Lineage: Eukaryota; Metazoa; Chordata; Actinopteri; Cichliformes; Cichlidae
Source: the annotation of a RefSeq genome assembly
AUGGAUUUGCCCGGACCACCCGGAGGUGGCCAGUCAGAGAGCCGUGUCUCUCUACAGUCAGAGGUUUUUGUACGGCGGCUCAAUGAGUUUGUAUCACUGUGGUUCACGUUCGGUGGAGGAACCAGACUGGAAUUUGGAUGUGAUGUCCGUCCCACUCUGACAGUGUUGCCCCCCUCCAGUGAGGAGCUGAAGCAUGGAAAUGCCACGAUCACAUGUCUGGCCAACAAGGGCUUCCCCUCAGACUGGAGGCUGUCCUGGAAGGUGGAUGGCAGCAGCAGCAUCAGUGGGGAGGAGAGCAGGAGCCCCGCGGUGCUGAAGGACCGCCUCUACAGCUGGAGCAGCACCCUGAGGCUCCCUGCAGACCAGUGGGAGAAGGUGGGCUCUGUGACCUGUGAGGCCACCCAGGGCUCCCAGACUUCAGUCUCAGAGAAACUGAGGAAAUAUGAGUGUUCCUAGUCCUGACUCAACUCACUGGGACUCUGACACUGGUUUUACUGCUCUCUGCAUUCUGUAACAAUUUCAUUUUUAUCCAUUUUUCUUGCUCUAA